This 2784-nucleotide long non-coding RNA is filed under the name Equus caballus (horse). Its description in RNAcentral is "lncRNA (ENSECAG00000060135.1)". Lineage: Eukaryota; Metazoa; Chordata; Mammalia; Perissodactyla; Equidae. The record is from RNAcentral.
CUCUGCCAGUGUCUGUGUCAGCACGCCUGUACUAGGUCACAGCAUUGAUUGUUGCCAAUGUCUCGAUCCCUGGAGAGGUCUCACCUCUCACCAAGACACACCCAGAGCCUAUCAGACUCUGCAGCCAGACUUUCAUCUGCCAAUCCAGCUUCCAAAUUACCACGAGAGCAAUCUUUCUAAAAUUCAUAUGGAAGUGAGACCAGCAAGGUCAGCUUGCUCACUUGCUUGCCUGAAGACACAGUGAUUAAAGGAAGAAGUGAGAUUCAAAGCAUGCCUUUCGAUUCUAGAUUCUGUGAUCUCUGCUCCUCCCUGCCCCCUCCUUGGCAGGUCAGCGAGCUGCAGGCCGAGGGUUGACCCUGGAGUAGUCUCCGUAGGGGACAGGAGGUCGGGAGAAACAGCUCACUCCGCUUGUCCCUUGCAGACACACCAACAUGAGCUCUCCACCAACAAGCCUCAUCGUUUCCAUUACUGGAAGGAUUCUUUUGCUCUUGGAAAAAUCCAGGAGGGCAGAGAUGAUUUAAUCUCAGGUCAGAUGAGGAAAGACACAGUAAUUCUGGCUUUAGCUUUGGGCGCUCUCUGACAUGUGGUUUGCGAUGGAACCCUGCUGCGACCAGCACAGACAUCGCUGUCCUUGCUGCGCAGCAGGAGAAGCCCCGGUGAGUGCAGGAGGGAGUCCUAGAUCCCUGGCAUGGAGCAGAGAGCCCGCACAGCUGCAGUCUGUGACCCUGCUGGCUUCCAGGGAGGAAUGGACUCUGGCCGUGCGACAUCAAAUGUGAGCGCCACUGCGGAUUAGCACCUGAGGAAAGUUUUUUUUUUAAACAAAAUUUUAUGGAAAAAAAUGGAGUAGAUGUAAAAGGCAACACAUAAAACUAGGGUACAAAGUUUUCUUUCUAGGAAUAAAAAUGGUACCAGAUGGAAGCAGAGAGAGAGAAAAUAAAAAUGAAAGUAGUGGGUAGGGGAAAGGGAGGAUGGAGAAGGGAGAGCAGUAAACGGGAGUUGAGAGGGAGAAUGUGGGCGAAGAAAGACGACUUGGAAAAGAUGGAACUGCAAGAAAAAAAAGAACAGAGCAGAUCGGGGAAGAGGCGCCUGGGCAGGAACUGAGAGGCGCCAGUACGAGUGGUCCACGCGGCUCCACACCGGCCUGCGUGCAGUCUGCUCAAGGCUCUGUGGCAAUCUGGCUCUGGAGACUGCUUAAAACAUCACCGCAUCUGAGCUCAAGAUUCCCUGUAAAAUACGCCGUUCGACAGAGAGAAGCCCAGCGGUGGGCUUAAACAUUCUUUCUUGGGAGCAGGGCGGUGAGAAGCCACCUAGUGAGCAGGGAAGUGAUGCAGAUGUCUUCAGAUGGAAAAUUCAUAACUCCUCUGGCAGAAGUUGCCCACAGCAACCGUCAGCUGUUGGGGGAAGUUGAUCUUCCCAUGGGCACUGCCCAGGUGAGGUUUACUGCAGUAAUCCUAACGUUUUAAUACCUGCUUGCUUUUGUUUCAAGAAAACAUGAGCUGCUUUGGGCAGCUAAACACUGACUUGGAGUCACUUUAUGGCUUUAUUUUUGGAAUGGUCCCUUUCCAGGUGCUCGUUCAUUUGACACAGACAAGUAAAAAAUGAAAUCUAUUCCUUCUUCCCUAAGGACUUACGUCAACGCAAAAUGUGAAUAAUUCCAUUUAAAAUUAAGUUUGAGACAAUCAAAAUAUUCACCUUAUUAAACGCAACAGCUGUAAAUGGCCUAAUGAUGACAGGGGAUUCCUCAGUGCUGCAUCUCUGCCCUUUCAUGUAAUCUCUGCUGGAGCAGGGCCUGCCCAACCGAGGGCUGAGGAAGAAAGGAGAAGGGCUGGAAAGGGCUGUGUUCGAAAAUGUCUACCAAGGGCACCGGAAACUGCUGGGAGACAUUGCUCAGGGAAUCCUGAUUUCAAUUAUGUUCAUAAACUUCAUAGCCCCCAAACUACCAACGCUCCAUCUUGGCUAAAUUAACAUCUUCAAAGUAAAUUCUUUAAAGUAAACAUAAAAAGAUCAUCUUUAAAUAGCACAAGAGCUAAAAUAUUUGAGGUUAAGGGGCCCCCAAAUGGAUGAUAUUCCAUAUAUCAAUAGGAACGUCAUAGUACAUUUUCUCUUAAAAAUGCUUCCACUUCACUUUCAGUGGAUAAGGGUGCAAAGGCUAUAACCUGACAAUUCUGAAAAAUAUUUUUAAAAAAGUGUUUUCCUUCAAUAAUUAUUGCAGAAGUUCUACUCCGAACAUAUCACCUUAAUCUUAGAACGAUUUCUCUAAUGCUGGUGGUGUUAGCGUGAAAGGGUCACCCUCAUAAACAACUGGUUACACUAUAAUUUGUGCCAGACAUUUUGGGAUGCAAUGUGGCAAUAUGUGUCCAAAAUCAUAAAUAUAUUUAUGCUCCUUGGCCCAGUAAUCCAAAUUCCAAGAAUGUGUCCUCGGGAAAUAUUUCAAAAGAGGGAACAAUUUAGAAGUAACACAAUGCUCGCUGUAGUUAUUUUGUGCCAGAGGGUAAAAGACAAUCAUGUGUACAGGGGUUGCAAACCGUGCCCCGUGUGCCAGAUCAGCCCUCUGACUGUUAGACGAAGUCAAGUUUUCCUGGAACACAGCCACUCUCCUGCAUCUGUGUGUUGUCUAUGGUGCCGCUUUUGUGCUACAGUGGCAGAGGUGAACAGUUGUGACACGGACUAUAUGGUUCACAAAGCUGAAAAGUAUUUACUUCCCAGCUUAAUUUUUAGUAUCGACUUUUUAAAAUCCUAGAUUAUGAUAUCACUCUCUAGUCAUUAAAUUGUUCAUUUAAUAUC